This 709-nucleotide ribosomal RNA is filed under the name Limosilactobacillus fermentum. RNAcentral's name for it is "bacterial SSU rRNA". It matches the Rfam family "Bacterial small subunit ribosomal RNA", at positions 134 to 828 of the family's 1533-position model. Lineage: Bacteria; Bacillati; Bacillota; Bacilli; Lactobacillales; Lactobacillaceae. The record is from RNAcentral.
AAGCGGGGGACAACAUUUGGAAACAGAUGCUAAUACCGCAUAACAACGUUGUUCGCAUGAACAACGCUUAAAAGAUGGCUUCUCGCUAUCACUUCUGGAUGGACCUGCGGUGCAUUAGCUUGUUGGUGGGGUAACGGCCUACCAAGGCGAUGAUGCAUAGCCGAGUUGAGAGACUGAUCGGCCACAAUGGGACUGAGACACGGCCCAUACUCCUACGGGAGGCAGCAGUAGGGAAUCUUCCACAAUGGGCGCAAGCCUGAUGGAGCAACACCGCGUGAGUGAAGAAGGGUUUCGGCUCGUAAAGCUCUGUUGUUAAAGAAGAACACGUAUGAGAGUAACUGUUCAUACGUUGACGGUAUUUAACCAGAAAGUCACGGCUAACUACGUGCCAGCAGCCGCGGUAAUACGUAGGUGGCAAGCGUUAUCCGGAUUUAUUGGGCGUAAAGAGAGUGCAGGCGGUUUUCUAAGUCUGAUGUGAAAGCCUUCGGCUUAACCGGAGAAGUGCAUCGGAAACUGGAUAACUUGAGUGCAGAAGAGGGUAGUGGAACUCCAUGUGUAGCGGUGGAAUGCGUAGAUAUAUGGAAGAACACCAGUGGCGAAGGCGGCUACCUGGUCUGCAACUGACGCUGAGACUCGAAAGCAUGGGUAGCGAACAGGAUUAGAUACCCUGGUAGUCCAUGCCGUAAACGAUGAGUGCUAGGUGUUGGAG